RNAcentral lists this ribosomal RNA (482 nucleotides) under uncultured ammonia-oxidizing bacterium. RNAcentral's name for it is "bacterial SSU rRNA". It matches the Rfam family "Bacterial small subunit ribosomal RNA", at positions 162 to 635 of the family's 1533-position model. The record is from RNAcentral.
GCUAAUACAGCAUAAUCUCUGAGGAGGAAAGGCGGGGAUCACGCAAGUGACCUGUCGCUGAAAGAGCGGCCGAUGGUCGAUUAGCUAGUUGGCGGGGUAAAAGCCCACCAAGGCGAUGAUCGAUAGCGGGUCUGAGAGGACGAUCCGUCACACUGGGACUGAGACACGGCCCAGACUCCUACGGGAGGCAGCAGUGGGGAAUUUUGGACAAUGGGCGAAAGCCUGAUCCAGCCAUGCCGCGUGAGUGAAGAAGGCCUUCGGGUUGUAAAGCUCUUUCAGUCGGAAAGAAACGAUUGCAACUAAUAAUUGUAAUUAAUGACGGUACCGACAGAAGAAGCACCGGCUAACUACGUGCCAGCAGCCGCGGUAAUACGUAGGGUGCGAGCGUUAAUCGGAAUUACUGGGCGUAAAGGGUGCGCAGGCGGUUUUGUAAGUCAGACGUGAAAUCCCCGGGCUUAACCUGGGAAUGGCGUUUGAAACUA